Molecule: ribosomal RNA, 253 nt
Filed under: uncultured bacterium
Lineage: Bacteria
Also listed under: 1 other name
Description: partial 16S ribosomal RNA
Rfam family: Bacterial small subunit ribosomal RNA
Source: RNAcentral
UACGUAGGUGGCAAGCGUUGUCCGGAAUUAUUGGGCGUAAAGCGCGCGCAGGCGGCCUUUUAAGUCUGAUGUGAAAGCCCCCGGCUCAACCGGGGAGGGUCAUUGGAAACUGGAAGGCUUGAGUACAGAAGAGAAGAGUGGAAUUCCAUGUGUAGCGGUGAAAUGCGUAGAGAUGUGGAGGAACACCAGUGGCGAAGGCGACUCUUUGGUCUGUAACUGACGCUGAGGCGCGAAAGCGUGGGGAGCAAACAGG